Grus americana (Whooping crane) is the source of this 1082-nucleotide long non-coding RNA. RefSeq lists it as uncharacterized. The transcript has 3 exons. The record is from RefSeq and is a predicted model, not a curated record. Lineage: Eukaryota; Metazoa; Chordata; Aves; Gruiformes; Gruidae.
CAGAGGCAAUUUCUGAUGGAUGGCACAGUGCUGUUUGACAGAAAAAUCCUGCAUGGGAUCCGAACUGUUCCCUCACCUUUCUCAAUCACCGGAAAACAAAUUGGAAAAGUGGAAAUAGCAAGGUCAGGUCAGAUGAACUAAAUGCCUGCAUUUGGUAUUUAAGAUACCACAUUAAAAGUGACUGCGAACAUAACAAACAUAAGCAGUGUUACCAGAAGUUGGCACGGCGAAGCCAAUAAACAAGCCUGACUGUAGGAAAUUGCAUCCUCAGAAAUGUGGGGAAAGAACCUUGAUCAUCGUAUCCAAACACCCCACGUUAGAUGUGAAAAUAAGAAAAUCCCGUGGUUCUGUCAACGCGUUUUCCAGGAAUUCAGCAGGCACCGGGUGGUCUCGCCGACACCGCGCGUGGGCUGCGCGGCCCCUUGCACCAGACGACGAGUGCGUCCCCGCCGGUGAGAAGCAGCAGGGCGCUUUGGUGGCUGCGGAAAAUGGGGGUGCUCCCACCUUCGCUGCGCACACAAUGCUUCAUGUCUCGCUGCUCCCUUGAACAGAGCCGACCUGGCAGCGGGGGAGAUGCGUUCCGCAGGGGCAGCGUGGGGAACGGGGCCAGAAGAGGACGGGAGGUACCGAACACGCCGGGGAAGGGAGCGGGGCUGGGAGCGCUGGGGAAUGGCACUGCUGCCUAGGAGACCCCGCUUCUGUGUCACCAAAUUAAGUUAUUUCACCGCCAUUGGGGCUGAAAGACCUGGUCAUCUCUUUUGGAGAAAAUGUGGUCAUCUCAGUGGUUUUGUGAAAUCUCGAUGUUUCCAGCACAACAAGGCACUAUUAUUUCAGUGUUACACAGCCUUUUGAGAAACCAUACAUUUUUGGACUUGAAGUCUUGCUAAGGUGUAAAUAUUAAAGCUAUGUUCAUUUACACCAGCUGAGAUAGAUAGAUAGAUUUAUUUAUUUAUUUAUUUAUUUCAAACUAGCAGCACAUUUAAUUCGAGUAUCCUGACAGGAGAACUGAAGUUUAUCCUUACAAUUCUUAUUUUUGUAGUCACUGUUAUUUCUUGGCGCUCUCUGUACUUGAAGAAACAAUA